This 292-nucleotide ribosomal RNA is filed under the name uncultured bacterium. RNAcentral's name for it is "partial 16S ribosomal RNA". It matches the Rfam family "Bacterial small subunit ribosomal RNA", at positions 505 to 796 of the family's 1533-position model. The record is from RNAcentral.
GUGUCAGCAGCCGCGGUAAGACAGAGGGUGCAAACGUUGUUCGGAAUUACUGGGCGUAAAGCGUGUGUAGGCGGCUACAUAAGUCGGAUGUGAAAGCCCCGGGCUCAACCCGGGAAGUGCACUCGAUACUGCGUAGCUUGAGUCUCGGAGAGGUUGGUGGAAUUCUCGGUGUAGAGGUGAAAUUCGUAGAUAUCGAGAGGAACACCGGUGGCGAAGGCGGCCAACUGGACGAAGACUGACGCUGAGACACGAAAGCGUGGGGAGCAAACAGGAUUAGAUACCCUGGUAGUCC